AAGUGUGCGCACGUGUAUGUGAGUGUCUGCGUCUAUACCGUGUGAUUCGGAAAAAAACAAACCUAAAAUAUCCGAGUUUUUGAGUUGGCGACGAGCACAUGAGAGAUAGCUUAAUUAUAUACCGAUCUGAAAUCGGUAGCGCGCAAGGAUUAAUCAUCGUUCGUCACCGGUAUUACUGAAUUUUACAAGGACGCGUGAAACACGGAGAAGGAAAAGAAAACUUUGCACCGACUGGCUCGCUCGAGGAUCGUGACGGAUUCUUGUCCUGGUGUGCAACAAUCUCAUACGACGAAUAUACCCCCGGCCCAUGAUCCUAUGGCCCCUGUUCGCACCUGCUUACUGCUGUGCGGCCGACAGGCGGGACCGAGGGAGGAGGAAUAAUAUUGUCGCCGUCUCUUCAAAUUGGCAUGGGACGUGUUUCAUUUCAUUUGCCCGGACACAAUCUCAGGUGGUCAGUCCGAAAUAAAGAAUCGAGUCCAAUUUGAU
Molecule: long non-coding RNA, 486 nt
Filed under: Setaria italica (foxtail millet)
Lineage: Eukaryota; Viridiplantae; Streptophyta; Magnoliopsida; Poales; Poaceae
Description: long non-coding RNA (SITA_LNC006774)
Source: RNAcentral